RNAcentral lists this ribosomal RNA (400 nucleotides) under uncultured bacterium. RNAcentral's name for it is "bacterial SSU rRNA". It matches the Rfam family "Bacterial small subunit ribosomal RNA", at positions 54 to 459 of the family's 1533-position model. The record is from RNAcentral.
CAUGCAAGUCGAACGAACCUAAUCUUCGGAAAGGGUUAGUGGCGCACGGGUGAGUAAUACGUAGGUGACCUACCCCAAAGUGGGGGAUAACUUCUCGAAAGAGAGGCUAAUACCGCAUAUGCUCGAUCAUUCGUUUGGUCGAGUAAAGUCGCAAGACGCUUUGGGAGGGGCCUGCGUCCGAUUAGCUGGUUGGUGAGGUAAUGGCUUACCAAGGCGAUGAUCGGUAGCUGGUCUGAGAGGACGAUCAGCCACACUGGCACUGACACACGGGCCAGACUCCUACGGGAGGCAGCAGUGAGGAAUAUUGGUCAAUGGGCGAAAGCCUGAACCAGCAACGCCGCGUGGAGGAUGAAGGCCUUCGGGUUGUAAACUCCUUUUCUGGGAGAAGAGACAAGGACGG